Molecule: long non-coding RNA, 462 nt
Organism: Impatiens glandulifera
Lineage: Eukaryota; Viridiplantae; Streptophyta; Magnoliopsida; Ericales; Balsaminaceae
Exons: 3
Source: RefSeq, a predicted model, not a curated record
AAAUCCCCUUCCAAUGCCGCAGCCUCUCAAAAUACAGCUUCUUCCCCAUAUAGAUGAAAUCAUGUCCAAAACUAAUACAAUAGUUGAUAUCUAUGAUUGUUUAUAUAGGAUAACAAGUAAUGCUUCCGAAAGACUGGGUUACUUCCCAGCACUAUUUUGUCUCCUAGCAUCUUUGAAAGUUAAAGUGCUUGUGCCAACUGCUACAGAAGCCAAAUCUGUUUGACAAACAAAUUUGGUUUUGUUGAGAUGUCCGACAUUGAGGAAGAACAGUACAGAAAACAAUAUCAUCUGUUGUUCUUCCAAGGGAUUAGGAUGCUUCACAAGCCCGUUAUGGAGGAGAAUGUAGUAUAGGGGUGCAAUUUUUUAUUCUGUACAUAAUUUAAGCUCUGAGAGUUGUCUGGUAGAUCUAUUAUGUAAUGUGUUAUUUUUAAAUAAUUGAGAAUGUGUAACCCAUGAAAUGAA